Molecule: ribosomal RNA, 207 nt
Filed under: uncultured bacterium
Lineage: Bacteria
Description: partial 16S ribosomal RNA
Rfam family: Bacterial small subunit ribosomal RNA
Source: RNAcentral
UACGUAGGGUGCAAGCGUUAAUCGGAAUUACUGGGCGUAAAGCGUGCGCAGGCGGUUUGUAAGUUUGUCGUGAAAUCCCCGGGCUCAACCCUGGGAAAUGGCGAUGGAAGACUGCAAGGCUAGAAUCUGGCAGAGGGGGGUAGAAUUCCACGUGUAGCAGUGAAAUGCGUAGAGAGUGUGGAGGAACACCGAUGGCGGAAGGCAGGU